AUACGAAGGGGGCUAGCGUUGUUCGGAAUUACUGGGCGUAAAGCGCGCGUAGGCGGAUUGGUCAGUUAGGGGUGAAAUCCCAGGGCUUAACCCUGGAACUGCCUCUAAUACUGCCAGUCUUGAGUUCGGGAGAGGUGAGUGGAAUUCCUAGUGUAGAGGUGAAAUUCGUAGAUAUUAAGAAGAACACCAGUGGCGAAGGCGGCUCACUGGCCCGAUACUGACGCUGAGGCGCGAAAGCGUGGGGAGCAAACAGGAUUAGAUACCCUAGUAGUCC
Molecule: ribosomal RNA, 274 nt
Filed under: uncultured bacterium
Lineage: Bacteria
Description: partial 16S ribosomal RNA
Rfam family: Bacterial small subunit ribosomal RNA
Source: RNAcentral